This is a long non-coding RNA of Brassica oleracea var. oleracea, 1682 nucleotides long. RefSeq lists it as uncharacterized. Lineage: Eukaryota; Viridiplantae; Streptophyta; Magnoliopsida; Brassicales; Brassicaceae. The transcript is spliced from 7 exons. The record is from RefSeq and is a predicted model, not a curated record.
AUUCGCGUGAGACCACUGUCUCCGAGAAACGACAGACAAACAUUCAUGUUCCAUUUGUGAUUCAGUAACGGAUGAUAAUAAUGAUAUCAAUCAAAUUAACCCACUACUUAUCUUCAAUUCCGCUUCUCUGCCUUCUUCAUCACCAUUAUUCAAUGUAUAUACAGAUCCAGAGAGACCUCCUUUCAUAUUUCUGUUUCACACUUUUCAUAAGCUAACAGACGGUUAGGAAUGGCGACUUCAUAGGUUUUUCUCACUGUAUUGAAAGCAUAUCGGAGCAGGCAUACUGUGGUGACAAGGCUCAUGCAUUUUUGGGAGGCAUAGAAUGUGAAGAAAGGUGGGGCGCUUAUGGGUGUCAAUUAUUAGUUGAUGAGAAGUCUGAACACCUUCUGAGAAGGCUCGAACUCCUCAAAUAAUGAGCGCUUUAUGAGCGCAGACAUAAUCGUGAAAGGAAGUAUCAUCAGCAGACCACAGCGUACAAGCUCAACGCUCUAUCUCAAGAAUGGAGACAGCUCUGUGUGAAGAAUAUGAAUAUCCAGUCUGCGUGUACUGUUCUUGAGACACGAAUCGAUUCGUUGAAAAGGGAAGCUGCUGAAAGGGGAUGAAACUUAGAAGAGAAAAUAGAGAGUGCCUAACCACUUCAAUUGCAGUGAGGCAACCCCCGAGCAAUCCAUCUACCAUGUCUCCGCUAAAAUUUUGAAUGUUUUGUUUUUAAAAUAUUAUUUAUAGUAUAAGAGAAUGAUUUUAUCAUAAAGAUACUACAGUAUUAGGUGAAUGCGUGUCUCUCUUUAUGUAAUAACAUUUUAGAUCUUUUAACACUGUAGCAAUCAAAACUUCACACUGUUGGAGGCACCAGUUUGUAUUAGGUUCAUCGAGCAAAGUUUUAUUUAGACAGCAGCAAUGGCCUGCCACAUUCCACGGAGAUGUCCUGUUCCGUAAUUAUGACAGCUGAUGCUACCGGCUAACGCUAACACAUAAUUACCAGGUAAAGUUAGGAGCAUAAAGAAAACUUUGAACGACUAAACACAGAGCACGCAACGUGUAAUGGUUUAGAGGGAAACAACCACGUGUCUGAGUGUUUUUGAUGUCCUAACCAACCUACUCAAUAACAAAUUAGCUGCCUCUGGUGUGGAGCCAAAGGUUGGGUUUUUUCUUUUCACUCUCAAGUCGCCUUUUUCUCAAUGCUACUUUUGGGGCACACUUUUACUUCGACAACUGUGUCACUAGCCAGCGUCAGUUUGUUCUUAAAGAAAAUUACCAACGUCAUUUGCUCCAAUUUUUGUUCUACCCCGCUAAUUAACCAAUUAUUUUUUCCUGCAGAACUCCCACAAAAUAUGGGGGCAUUCAUAAGCCACCGUCUGGUACCGUCUAAGUGUUUAAUGCACAUGUCUUGCAUUCUGAGCCACAUGUACAUAUUCUAGACUCACCCAACUUCCAUACAGUUUUCAAAAUUAGAGCAUUACGUACUGUCAUUUUACACCUCCACUGUCAAUCGAGUUAUUCUACACCAAUACGUGAUACUCUUACCACUGCAUCGCAGGUGAUCAUCAAUUACUGUACAUGUUAUUAUAUCAUUAUCAGAACCUCUGUUUACAGCUACAGUUUUAUACAUUUAUCUUCUCAGCUUUCUGCUAUUUGUCUGUAUUUUUUCUAUUAUGCAAAUAGUUCUAAAACAUUCUUGAUUA